ACGAAAAGUAUUCUCUUCAUACGCAUUAACCUUUCGCCUUUUACUAAAGGUUACCGUGGAGGGGAACAUAACAAUAAGCCUAUAGGCAAUUUUUGUAACCCCACGCUUGAUGGGGUU
RNAcentral lists this small nuclear RNA (117 nucleotides) under Centruroides sculpturatus (bark scorpion). Its description in RNAcentral is "U5 spliceosomal RNA". It matches the Rfam family "U5 spliceosomal RNA". Rfam says of the family: U5 RNA is a component of both types of known spliceosome. The precise function of this molecule is unknown, though it is known that the 5' loop is required for splice site selection and p220 binding, and that both the 3' stem-loop and the Sm site are important for Sm protein binding and cap methylation. The record is from RNAcentral. Lineage: Eukaryota; Metazoa; Arthropoda; Arachnida; Scorpiones; Buthidae.